AAUAUCAAGCUUCAAUGAUUUACUUCAGUAUGUAUAUGAAACGUAUUUAUUACCGUCACUAAAUAAAUGUCUUGAAUGUGGUCAGAUGGGUCAUUUUUUUGUUUUGACAGCAACGGAUUAUAUCACCCUCUGCUACAGAUGGAAGAAAUAAGCACAGUUAGAAAAGCAACAUGUGUGAGUGAGACUAUAUUGCACUGCAAUAGCAUUUAGACAUUAAUACUGAAUAAAAAAAACUAGACUGCACAGAUUUUAAAAUAGAAAAGAUUUAUAACAGUAUGAAAUAAGGUUACACGUGAAGUCGACACAAAUCAUGUCACUUCAUGACUUUUAAAAAUAAUCAUCUUUAGUGUAAGUACACGGAUCCUCUAAAUAAAAUAUAUCAGCUUUAGCUUUCUAAAAGCACAAUACAAUUAAUUAUUUUAAACAAUCAUGUUAACAAGCUGAAGCUGUGAGAAAAAAAGCAGAUGAGCUUUUCUGGAGCUUCUGUAGCAUCAUGAAUGCUUUUUCUUACUGAAUUACACACAUCUUCUGUGCUGCUAGUUUCCCCUUCGAGCCCCAAUAACAUGUUUUACAGCCUCCAGGGUUUGCUGUGUUGCAGCCUGGAAUUAAACCACAUCAUGCUGGUUUCGUCUGGUCACCUGUAUAUAGUAAGCAUCGUCAAUCAGCUUUUAAGAUCACUGUUUUAGUACAUUAAGGCACCUCAUAUGUUUUCCAUAUUAAGCGUGUUUUUUUUUUUAAUGUUUUCAGUGAUUGAGAUACUGCAGCAGGUGCUCUAUAUAUGGAUCACAAAACUGUCUUUUUGUUCACAUGUUUGUUUUUCUUCUUUGUACAGCUGAUCUACAUGUGUGUGAAGCAGACAGUAAGCAGACAGGCCUGUGCUGCAGCUCUAUGGAUGUUUUGUUCUCCAGGUCUCAUGUGACUGAAAACUAUAGAUCAGAAGCAACGAUCACCUUCAGAAUCACCUUUGUGACGAGGCUCAUCUGCUAAACUCUGCAUUUCUGGAGCCACCUGCUUUCUCAUCCAUGUUCUCUUGAAUGUGUUUCAUGCACGUUAUCAAUAAAACCAGAUAUCUUUACCCAUCCUGACAUUGGUUUCUGAGCGGCUCUGUUUCGUUUCAGAGUUUGAACCGGCUGAAGAUUCAAACAGAUUUCUGUUUCCAGUGGCACUUUGCCCAGAUCCAGUUUCUCCCAGCAGAACCGGCCUGAUCUGGUCUUUGCUCUCAGGAAUCACAUCAGUCUCAUCUGGAUCUUCAGCUGAAACUACAACAGAAAGAUCAAAUCACUCAUGCGAUCACGAUGUUUAAUCAGAUCGCUCAUUGUUCAUUCAUUCUCCAAUUCCUCUUGUGAAC
RNAcentral lists this long non-coding RNA (1348 nucleotides) under Sinocyclocheilus anshuiensis. RNAcentral's name for it is "lncRNA (ENSSANG00000028439.1)". Lineage: Eukaryota; Metazoa; Chordata; Actinopteri; Cypriniformes; Cyprinidae. The record is from RNAcentral.